Molecule: ribosomal RNA, 905 nt
Filed under: Hebeloma cf. crustuliniforme 2 UE-2011
Lineage: Eukaryota; Fungi; Basidiomycota; Agaricomycetes; Agaricales; Hymenogastraceae
Description: LSU rRNA
Rfam family: Eukaryotic large subunit ribosomal RNA
Source: RNAcentral
AAUAAGCGGAGGAAAAGAAACUAACAAGGAUUCCCCUAGUAACUGCGAGUGAAGCGGGAAAAGCUCAAAUUUAAAAUCUGGCGGUCUCUGGCCGUCCGAGUUGUAAUCUAGAGAAGUGUUAUCCGCGCUGGACCGUGUACAAGUCUCCUGGAAUGGAGCGUCAUAGAGGGUGAGAAUCCCGUCUUUGACACGGACUGCCAGGGCUUUGUGAUGCGCUCUCAAAGAGUCGAGUUGUUUGGGAAUGCAGCUCAAAAUGGGUGGUAAAUUCCAUCUAAAGCUAAAUAUUGGCGAGAGACCGAUAGCGAACAAGUACCGUGAGGGAAAGAUGAAAAGAACUUUGGAAAGAGAGUUAAACAGUACGUGAAAUUGCUGAAAGGGAAACGCUUGAAGUCAGUCGCGUUGGCCGGGGAUCAACCUUGCUUUUGCUGGGCGUACUUUCCGGUUGACGGGUCAGCAUCAAUUUUGACCGUUGGAUAAAGUCCAGGGGAAUGUGGCAUCUUCGGAUGUGUUAUAGCCCUUGGUCGCAUACAACGGUUGGGAUUGAGGAACUCAGCACGCCGCAAGGCCGGGUACUUGUACCACGUUCGUGCUUAGGAUGCUGGCAUAAUGGCUUUAAUCGACCCGUCUUGAAACACGGACCAAGGAGUCUAACAUGCCUGCGAGUGUUUGGGUGGAAAACUCGGACGCGUAAUGAAAGUGAAAGUUGAGAUCCCUGUCGUGGGGAGCAUCGACGCCCGGACCAGACCUUUUGUGACGGAUCCGCGGUAGAGCAUGUAUGUUGGGACCCGAAAGAUGGUGAACUAUGCCUGAAUAGGGUGAAGCCAGAGGAAACUCUGGUGGAGGCUCGUAGCGAUUCUGACGUGCAAAUCGAUCGUCAAAUUUGGGUAUAGGGGCGAAAGACUAAU